Molecule: small nucleolar RNA, 107 nt
Organism: Lactuca sativa (garden lettuce)
Lineage: Eukaryota; Viridiplantae; Streptophyta; Magnoliopsida; Asterales; Asteraceae
Source: RefSeq, a predicted model, not a curated record
AUUCCAUGUUGGGGGCAACGAACCAACAACUUCUUGAAUCUCUCCCAUUAGGUAUAUAAAGCUUCUCAUCUUCCUUGUUUGAUCCCAAGGAUUUCUCUUUUGAGACU